GGAGCUUGCGGCUUAAUUUGACUCAACACGGGAAAACUCACCCGGACCGGACACUAUGAGGAUAGACAGAUUGAUAGCUCUUUCUUGAUUUGGUGAUUAGUGGUGCAUGGCCGUUCUUAGUUCGUGGUAUGAAUUGUCUGGUUAAUUCCGAUAACGAACGAGAUUCUAUCCUGCUAAAUAGUUCAUGUGUAACUUUGUGUGGUGGAUAUGUCAGCUGACUUCGGUUGGUUGUGUGUUACCAUAUGAGCAUGUGGUACUUCUUAGAGGGAUUAGUGGUUAGCCAAGCCACACGAGAAAGAGCAAUAACAGGUCUGUGAUGCCCUUAGAUGUUCGGGGCCGCACGCGUGCUACACUGACAGUAGUAGAGAGUUUGGUAUCCUUACGCGAAAGUGUUGGGCAAACUUUUCAAUUACUGUCGUGCCUGGGAUCGGGGUUUGUAAUUAUCCCCCGUGAACCAGGAAUUCCUAGUAAGCACAAGUCAUCAGCU
This 487-nucleotide ribosomal RNA is filed under the name Gyrodactylus emembranatus. RNAcentral's name for it is "bacterial SSU rRNA". It matches the Rfam family "Eukaryotic small subunit ribosomal RNA", at positions 1178 to 1636 of the family's 1831-position model. Lineage: Eukaryota; Metazoa; Platyhelminthes; Monogenea; Gyrodactylidea; Gyrodactylidae. The record is from RNAcentral.